This 465-nucleotide ribosomal RNA is filed under the name uncultured bacterium. RNAcentral describes it as "partial 16S ribosomal RNA". It matches the Rfam family "Bacterial small subunit ribosomal RNA", at positions 28 to 507 of the family's 1533-position model. The record is from RNAcentral.
GACGAACGCUGGCGGCGUGCUUAACACAUGCAAGUCGAACGGAAAGGCCCCUUUGGGGGUCCUCGAGUGGCGAACGGGUGAGUAACACGUGAGUAACCUGCCCUUGACUUCGGGAUAACUUCAGGAAACUGGGGCUAAUACCGGAUAGGAAUCCUUGCUGCAUGGUGGGGGUUGGAAAGCUUCGGCGGUUUUGGAUGGACUCGCGGCUUAUCAGCUUGUUGGUGGGGUAGUGGCUUACCAAGGCUUUGACGGGUAGCCGGCCUGAGAGGGCGACCGGCCACAUUGGGACUGAGAUACGGCCCAGACUCCUACGGGAGGCAGCAGGGGGGAAUAUUGCACAAUGGGCGGAAGCCGGAUGCAGCAACGCCGCGUGCGGGAGGACGGCCUUCGGGUUGUAAACCGCUUUCAGCAGGGGCGAAGCUUGUGGUGACGGUACCUGCAGAAGAAGCACCGGCUAACUACGUG